GAAAUGAAUUCCCAAAGCGAGUGUUCAGGAACAAUCUGACAGAAGGCUAAUGGGACCAGAGACAGGUACAGGCUGACCCAAAAGAACCCCUGUGCUGCAGCAUGUGGAGGACAUUACUCUAGUUACCAAUAUUAGCUGUCACUGAACCAGAUACAUGGAGAGAUAGUCACAUGAAGAUCACCUGUGUGUCAUAAAUAACAAUUUGCUUCUAGAACCUAUAAAGUGAAAAGUCUUCAGCCUCUGGUGCAUCUCAUUUUCACAUCAACAUGAAGUCACUAAAGGAUAAGAUUUGAAGCACUUUGCAAUUGCAAGAUAGAUCACAACCUAUUCAAGAAUAAAAUGGGAGAUAA
Non-coding RNA from Lonchura striata (white-rumped munia), 350 nucleotides. Lineage: Eukaryota; Metazoa; Chordata; Aves; Passeriformes; Estrildidae. The record is from RefSeq and is a predicted model, not a curated record.